RNAcentral lists this ribosomal RNA (257 nucleotides) under uncultured bacterium. RNAcentral describes it as "partial 16S ribosomal RNA". It matches the Rfam family "Bacterial small subunit ribosomal RNA", at positions 524 to 776 of the family's 1533-position model. The record is from RNAcentral.
UACGUAGGUGGCAAGCGUUGUCCGGAUUUAUUGGGUUUAAAGGGUGCGUAGGCGGCCUUGUAAGUCAGUGGUGAAAUACUCCAGCUUAACUGGAGGGGUGCCAAUGAUACUGCAGGGCUUGAGUACAGAUGAGGUAGGCGGAAUUGACGGUGUAGCGGUGAAAAUGCAUAGAUAUCGUCAAGAACACCGAUAGCGAAGGCAGCUUACUGGGCUGUAACUGACGCUGAGGCACGAAAAGUGUGGGGGAUCAAAACAGG